This 460-nucleotide ribosomal RNA is filed under the name uncultured bacterium. RNAcentral describes it as "partial 16S ribosomal RNA". It matches the Rfam family "Bacterial small subunit ribosomal RNA", at positions 338 to 795 of the family's 1533-position model. The record is from RNAcentral.
CCUACGGGUGGCAGCAGUGAGGAAUAUUGGUCAAUGGCCGCAAGCCUGAACCAGCCAAGCCGCGUGAAGGAUGAAUGCGCUACGGGUUGCAGACUUCUUUUAUAUGGGAAUAAAGUGCAGUACGUAUACUGCUUUGCAGGUACCUGAUGAAUAAGGAUCGGCUAACUCCGUGCCAGCAGCCGCGGUAAUACGGAGGAUCCGAGCGUUAUCCGGAUUUAUUGGGUUUAAAGGGGGCGGAGGCGGGUCGUUAAGCCAGUUGUGAAAGUUUGCGGCUCAACCGUAAAAUUGCAGUUGAUACUGGCAUCCUUGAGUACAGUAGAGGUAUGCGGAAUGCGUGGUGUAGCGGUGAAAUGCUUAGAUAUCGCGAAGAACUCCGAUUGCGAAGGCAGCCUGCUGGACUGUAACUGACACUGAUGCUCGAAAGUGUGGGUAUCAAACAGGAUUAGAUACCCCAGUAGUC